UUGAGGGCUCCACACCUGGACACACACUGCAUCGCUGCAGAAGUACUUAUCUGUGGGUUUGAGUCCUGCCCUAAUUCUUCUCGUGCUUUGGUAGCGCUUUUUGGCAGUUUGUUCUCCAGAUGUGCUGAGGGACAAAAUGAACUCGCUUUUCGCUUUGUGUGCUCGUACUGACGUUCAGUCCGUUUCUAGUGCGGAGCAAUGCUACUGGGGUCUAUUCCCAUUUAAGAACACAAGAGAUUUGACUCAACAAAUAAAACCCUUUGAGCGCACAGUCCCUCAGCCUCCCUGAGGCAGCCAGGCUUGGUCCCGUCGCGCCGAGCUCCCCCCGGCGGCGGUCCCGGCAUCAGCCCCGGCGGACAGCCGGCUCUUCCCGCGUCUUUCCGGGAGCCCCGGAUGGAGAGCGGGAUGUGCCAGCAUCCCCCUGACGGCAGCUGACCCGCCCCACCCUCGCAGUCCGGCGGGAGCGGAGGGGAGUGGCGCGGCGCUGUCCCGCCAGCGGCGGCUCCUGUGCCCGCCCGCCCGCGCCAUCUUGAACGCGAGCCGGGGGCAGCGGCCUCCCCUCCCUCCAUCCCUCCCCAAGAUGGCGCCGGCCGGUGCUUACACCUUGUUAUGGCACCGCUGGAAGGUGGAUUUUCUAUUUCGUGAAGACUUGAGUGAUGACCGACUUGUAUUUUCUGUGCAAAACUUGUAUGCGUGAUCUUAAACGCUCUGAUUUGAAUAGUAAAAGAUGUGAAUGCCUAACAAGCGAUCUGAAUCGCCGCUUUCCUUACAGUGAGAAGACUGUUUCACAGCGUGGUUGACUAUCAUUGUACAGCUUGGUGCCAGCAGCUUUUUGUAGGCGAACUUCGGAGAUUUUGAUUUCUGUACCGUGAUUUCUUUAUUAUUUUGUGUGUUUGUGUGAAAAAGAAACGGUGAAUCUUCUCUCGUGAACUGAUUAAAAUUGCUGCUGUGUUCGUAGCGUUGGCUGAGGGUAUCGUUCUGAUUGGGAUUCAGCGUGUUGACCGCUUAUCACCGUGGCUUAAACUUGAAAUGCAUUAAAACAUUUACAAUAAACGCGCGUAACUGUCUCUUAUGUUUCUAAAAAUGAGAGUUAAUUUUCCAGCCCUUAUGAGAUGUGGCCGCCAGCAGUUUAUAGUUAAUCCUUUCAGUUCGCAGCAAAAGUUAAAGCUAUAAGCUAAGAGCUUCAAAGUUGAUGUAUUAGCACUGGCUCCAGUUCACAGUUCUCAUGUAUUAUUAUGGGUAAGAGUUGGGCAGACUUUGAGAUAUUUGUUUCUUUGGCUCGUUUUUAUGACUGUUUGCACUCCUUCUGCCUUUAGAACACACAUAAAGGUGGCUCUUUCACCUCAGCUGAAUGUAAAGUGCCCUGCAGAAUAUAAGGAGCGCUCUCACUGGCAAGUUUAAUUCAGUAAUACUUCAUUUGUAUGUUGAGCAGUGCAUUAUCUGCUAAUUCAAGCUCUUCCAUAACAUAAAGUGAAAGCAUUUUCAUGCUUGCUAAUAGCAUGUUAAUGGUUCUCUUUGAAACAAAACAGCUAUCAAAUUUGUUUGUUUGUUUGUUUUUCCCACCUUAACUGAAACAGGCACAGGGAUACAAAAGAUUCCUUCUUUUCACAUCCCAAGAAACAGCAGUUGGCAAACGAACCCCCUCGAGGAUUGCUCUGGAAGUUAUGGUGAUAUUUUCCCCAUCUCCGUUUAGGCAUCUCUUUUAGCUGGGUAACCCACUAAGUUCAUCUCUCAGUGGAGGUGGCAGAAAGAGAAACUUGAUGUAAAUCACAGUUUCAGGCACCCUAACAAACAUAAUUUGAUCUGAAUGGUCCUUACAGAAGAGUUUGCCUCUGCAGGUUGAUUGCAAGGGAGGUGAAGGAGCUUUAGCUGAGCUAAGUGCCUGUAGGUGGGUGGUGUGAAAUUGUCCUCUAUCUUGCUUUCUUUUCCUGUGCUCAGGGAACUUGAGUAAAACUGGGAUCUGGCUCCCUUUGUGUGUGUGGUUUUUCUUCUUUUUUUUCCUGAGCUGAGCAAAUCAAUGGGAAAAGAUGUUCCAAUAUACUACCAUUAAGUACUUACCUCCUGUGUAAUAUCUCUCAAACUUCAUUUGCUGCCUAAGUAAUCAAUUCUUCAUGCUGUGGAUUGUAACUUCAGGAGGGUGUCCAGAACCCGUACUAAAAUAAGACAGAGCUACUAAAAUGACACAGGUGAGGUAGGAGAUUGAGGUUGUGCAGUGGUUUGUCCUCGUGUCCAUGUAGGACUCAGUAAUGUAUUGGUAGCCUUUAGGUACAUAAUGAUUUCCUCAGGGAGCUGUGUUCAAGAUGCAUAGUUGUGCAGUAGGGAUAGCCAGACCUUUCUUAGUGCAGAGCUCCCUUGCGUAUAGAAUUCAGACUCCAUAUGAGUCCAUGCUUAGCUUUGUCAUAGUAUUUACUGCUUAACUGUCCAACUUGCACAGCUUAUUUACACAAAUAGCACUGCAACAUGAUGCUUCAAGGCACAAAAAGAUCAAUUCUUCAGUGCAGUGGAGAACCUCAUCUUCGUGAUACUGCAAAAUCGAAGCUGGUAUUACUGAAAACGUUGUGGAAACCUAAAAUGGAAAGAGUGGCUGCUAUCUUCCAAAUGCAGUGAUCCCUUAUUGUGAUUUGAUGGAUUGGUUCGGAAAGAAGAAUUGCAUCAUGCCAAUUAAAAAGCUGUACUGCUGGCGCGUUAUUGUCUAUGGUAUUGUUUCUUGCUGAUUUUUUUUCCCCUUUUAUUCUUCGGAGGUUUCACUCACUCAAACUUCUCGUGUGAAUUUGUUAUAGAAAUUAAAGUAGGCACAUGGCUGAGCUGAUGGAAUUUCUGUGUAAAGUUAUUUAGUUUAUAGUAUCUCUAUUGUGUAUUGUUUGCUGUGCUGGGUGAGAAAGUACUGCAAGACAUGUUCCUCCGUAGCUCUUCUGAGCGCUUCUUUUGACUCAUGGAAUAAUAAAAACGUAUUGAGAUUCACAGCAGAGACAA
This is a long non-coding RNA of Coturnix japonica (Japanese quail), 2973 nucleotides long. RefSeq lists it as uncharacterized. NCBI's taxonomy places the organism in Eukaryota, Metazoa, Chordata, Aves, Galliformes, Phasianidae. The record is from RefSeq and is a predicted model, not a curated record.